GGGGCCGUGAUCUAGCUUGGUCCAGGAUGCCACCCUGGGGCGGUGGUAGUCCCGGGUUCAAAUCCCGGCGGCCCCA
This 76-nucleotide transfer RNA is filed under the name Nanobdellota archaeon. RNAcentral's name for it is "tRNA-Pro". It matches the Rfam family "tRNA". From Rfam's summary of the family: Transfer RNA (tRNA) molecules are approximately 80 nucleotides in length. The record is from RNAcentral. Lineage: Archaea; Nanobdellati; Nanobdellota. RNAcentral also lists the same sequence under 1 other name.